Molecule: long non-coding RNA, 365 nt
Organism: Zea mays
Lineage: Eukaryota; Viridiplantae; Streptophyta; Magnoliopsida; Poales; Poaceae
Exons: 3
Source: RefSeq, a predicted model, not a curated record
ACAGGGGAAAUUUAGAAAAGGAGCAGCGGAUUUUGGAACUUAGGAAUCAGUGCACAAUAAUUAGAACCACGAAACUGGCUGCUGCUCAAGACCGCCUAACUGAUUUGGAGAGGCAAAAGGAUGAUAUUAUGAGGUCCUAUUCCCCUGCCGCACUGCUCGACAAGCUCCAAACAUCAAUGGCAAAGUUGGAUAAGGAGUCCGAGGAGCUGCACCAGAAGUUCCUGGAGAAGGACAUCGACCUUCCAACCUUUGUGCAGAAGUACAAGAAGCUCCGCACGGCUUACCACAAGCAGGCGUUGCUCCAUCUCGCCGGCCAGACAUCACUCCGCUGACAUCCGGCCAGGCGUCAUGGCAACUUUGUUGUA